RNAcentral lists this ribosomal RNA (153 nucleotides) under uncultured bacterium. RNAcentral describes it as "partial 16S ribosomal RNA". It matches the Rfam family "Bacterial small subunit ribosomal RNA", at positions 1349 to 1500 of the family's 1533-position model. The record is from RNAcentral.
UCAGAAUGUUGCGGUGAAUACGUUCCCGGGUCUUGUACACCACCGCCCGUCACACCAUGGGAGUUGGAAAUGCCCGAAGUCAGUGACCCAACCAAAAGGAGGGAGCUGCCGAAGGCAGGUUCGAUGACUGGGGUGAAGUCGUAACAAGGUAGC